AGCGGCGGAUGGGUGAGUAACACGUGGGGAACCUGCCCCUAAGUCUGGGAUACCAUUUGGAAACAGGUGCUAAUACCGGAUAAUAAAGCAGAUCGCAUGAUCAGCUUUUGAAAGGCGGCGUAAGCUGUCGCUAAGGGAUGGCCCCGCGGUGCAUUAGCUAGUUGGUAAGGUAACGGCUUACCAAGGCGACGAUGCAUAGCCGAGUUGAGAGACUGAUCGGCCACAUUGGGUCUGAGACACGGCCCAAACUCCUACGGGAGGCAGCAGUAGGGAAUCUUCCACAAUGGUCGCAAGUCUGAUGGAGCAACGCCGCGUGAGUGAAGAAGGUUUUCGGAUCGUAAAGCUCUGUUGUUGGUGAAGAAGGAUAGAGGUAGUAACUGGCCUUUAUUUGACGGUAAUCAACCAGAAAGUCACGGCUAACUACGUGCCAGCAGCCGCGGUAAUACGUAGGUGGCAAGCGUUGUCCGGACUUAUUGGGCGUAAAGCGAGCGCAGGCGGAAAAAUAAGUCUAAUGUGAAAGCCCUCGGCUUAACCGAGGAACUGCAUCGGAAACUGUUUUUCUUGAGUGCAGAAGAGGAGAGUGGAACUCCAUGUGUAGCGGUGGAAUGCGUAGAUAUAUGGAAGAACACCAGUGGCGAAAGGCGGCUCUCUGGUCUGCAACUGACGCUGAGGCUCGAAAGCAUGGGUAGCGAACAGGAUUAGAUACCCUGGUAGUCCAUGCCGUAACGAUGAGUGCUAAGUGU
This 743-nucleotide ribosomal RNA is filed under the name uncultured bacterium. RNAcentral's name for it is "bacterial SSU rRNA". It matches the Rfam family "Bacterial small subunit ribosomal RNA", at positions 94 to 823 of the family's 1533-position model. The record is from RNAcentral.